AACGUGACUCUUUUUGUCCAUGGCAAAUGAUUUUGUCUUUGCUAUUCAAAGGUUUUUUAUUUUAUUUUACAUUUGCAUUACUGCUGUUAGAAUAGAUAUACAGAUAUCUAUUAAACCAGGUGGAUAUUCCAAUACAAGCACACACAUACUACCCUGGCUGCAGGGCCUGGAAGGUACUGUUGUUAUACUUCCCGCUCUGGUUUGCGGUGAGGCUGAAGCCUCAGUUCAUUAUAAUGAAAGUACCUGAAAGGCCCUGGAACAAACACGUUAACAUGGUGGUAUCUAAGGGGGCAACUAAUGGGUAAAAAGGGGGUUAAUAAGCCUAGAGCGAGAGAAAGCAAUCGAAAGUUAGAGGAUCGAAGACGAUCAGAUACCGUCCUAGUUCUAACCAUAAACGAUGCCGACUAGGGAUCAGAGAGUGUUAUUGGAUGACCUCUUUGGCACCUUAUGGGAAACCAAAGUUUUUGGGUUCCGGGGGAAGUAUGGUUGCAAAGCUGAAACUUA
Molecule: non-coding RNA, 504 nt
Filed under: Nematostella vectensis (starlet sea anemone)
Lineage: Eukaryota; Metazoa; Cnidaria; Anthozoa; Actiniaria; Edwardsiidae
Description: Eukaryotic small subunit ribosomal RNA
Rfam family: Eukaryotic small subunit ribosomal RNA
Source: Rfam by way of RNAcentral